GGAAGGGCUGUAGCACAGUGGUAGAGCAUUUGCCUUGCAUGCAAAAGGCCUUGGGUUCAAUCCCAGGCAUUUCCA
Molecule: non-coding RNA, 75 nt
Organism: Podarcis lilfordi (Lilford's wall lizard)
Lineage: Eukaryota; Metazoa; Chordata; Lepidosauria; Squamata; Lacertidae
Source: the annotation of a GenBank genome assembly